GCCCUAUGCAACUUAGUGAGUCUCUGUCUCAAAAUAAAAUAUAAAUAAAGAGCCAGGGAUAUGGCUUAGUGAUUAAGUAAGUGCCCCUGGGUUCAACACCUGGUACUAGAAAGAGAAGGAGAAAUACGAAGUGUGUUAUCACCAAUGGUUAGGUACUUCCCCAGAUAUUUUCCUCAUCUGUAAAAUGGGAAUAUUACCAUUAUCCUAUUUCAUAGGACUGAAAUGAGAAAAAAUGCAGGCAUGAUUCUUAUGAUACAGCAUGAUCAUAGUAACUGCUUAAUCAGUAAAAUGUUAGCCAGAGAUAAUAAAUGAGCUAAUGAUUGUCAACUGCCUGAUAGAAGGGGCUCCCUUUUUACCCCCUCCUGCAUUUGAGAAGACAGGACAACAAGCUGAGGACACCUGAAGACACAGGAUGCUGGUGGCUAAUCACAGGUACUUUUCCACCUCCUCUCUGAUCCCUCCUGUCUGAUAGGGGGCCCAGAAGGGGAUCCUGGGGAUUACUGCCAGGUUCCUCAUCCCCUAGCUCCAGGCUAGUUGCCAUGGUCUGGAACAGAAAAACCUUGAACGAUUUCAGCCUGCAUCGACUCCUUAGUCAAAGCUGCUGUUUCAGCAGCUGCUUCACAAGCAUUGCCUCUGGCCAGUUACAUAACUUUUGGCAAGUAGCAACUUCUCUGGCAUCAGUCCCCUCUUCUGGAAACUUAGAAGGGUUACUAAUUGCCUUUAAGUUUCCCAUUAGCACAAAAACGUUACACAGUGCUCCCAAACUCCUGUUGUUUCCUUGCUCUGUUCCCACCCAGCCUCUUCUCAGGUCCUCUGUAGAAGCUCUUCUAUUGAAUAUUCUUUCUGGUUCUGUGCUCUCUACCUCUGGAUGCCUUUUCUUCUUUCUUUCUUGGCUUCUGGUUGGUUGAGUUUAAAACUCUCAUCGCCCAGAGGCCAUAAGCAGUAAGACUGGUGAUCCCCUGUGCCUAAGCCUGCCACCAGUGUGGAAGCCAGUGCCCUUUGAGAGUCUCAUUCUUGGAUUUACAACAUGCAGAGGCAUGUAGACAAUCUCGGCUGCAUCCUAAAAAGUUCUUCUCUUCUUCAUUUAGACACUUAAGGCAGAGGAAAGCAGACUUAAGACUCCUCCAGAGAUAGAGAAAGCAACAGAUGCCUUCCAUUUGACUUCCCAGAGUGUCAUGGAAGACUCUUAGAUUCUCCUGAAGUCAGCCGGCAAUGUGUCCAACCAGUCCUUGCCCUUGGAGGUCUGCACUCAGAAAGCAGCCCACCACCUGUGCUCUGGAUCAGAGGAGGUCAAAACUUAAGCAGACGCUGCACUAUUACCACUGAUGAAUCCCACGUGGAGCAGUGGAGCUGGAAGAGACCUUUUUUUAAAACCCAAGGGAACAGGAACAUAAAAUGAUCACACCAUAUAAAAAUGAACAUGCGUGUUUACCAGAAAAAGAUCAGAGAAAACAUAAAAUGCUGAAUAGAUUAAUCUCUGGAAAAUGGUGAUCCAGUGGAAUAAGUGGGAGUCCAGGAAAAGAGAAUGUUUGCUGUGCACUUCCUGAAAGUCCUGUGAAACUCCAGAGACCAUCACUACACAGCAACAUCAAAAGAACUUGCCAAAAAUGGAGUCAGGGCAGCACCAAGGGCACAGGAGUCAUGCCCAUGUGGUGAUGCUGCCUGAGAAGGAGACCUCUCUCACUGUACCCCUGGGCUGCUGGCAUCUGCAGUGACGGGAUCAUGAGGCUGUGUCCAGAGCCCCCUGGUGUGCAUCAGGAGGUCAUCCACCCUUGUUUCCUGGACACACUCUACUGUUUAUGUGUGUUCUUCUUUCUAUUUCCCAUAGGUAGCACAGCCCCUGUCCUUGACGUCUUCCUACACAGGAAUUCCUAGCACAUCUGCCCGGCAGGUGGAUCCUGCUCCCGCUCCCAGCCUCCUUCCUUACACUCAUUCAGAGCGAUAUAUGCACAUGCUAUUCCAGAGAUGCUAAAUAAAGUGCUUUUACAGCUUCA
Molecule: non-coding RNA, 1994 nt
Organism: Ictidomys tridecemlineatus (thirteen-lined ground squirrel)
Lineage: Eukaryota; Metazoa; Chordata; Mammalia; Rodentia; Sciuridae
Source: RefSeq, a predicted model, not a curated record